GGGGAUUUAGCUCAGUGGUAGAGUGCUUGCCUAGCAAGCACAAGGGCCUGGGUUCGGUCCCCAGCUCCG
RNAcentral lists this transfer RNA (69 nucleotides) under Rattus norvegicus (Norway rat). It matches the Rfam family "tRNA". Rfam says of the family: Transfer RNA (tRNA) molecules are approximately 80 nucleotides in length. Lineage: Eukaryota; Metazoa; Chordata; Mammalia; Rodentia; Muridae. The record is from Rfam by way of RNAcentral.